GGGAUUGCCCUAGUAACGGCGAGUGAAGCGGCAACAGCUCAAAUUUGAAAUCUGGCCCUUGGGUCCGAGUUGUAAUUUGUAGAGGAUGUUUUUGGUGCGGUAUCUUCCGAGUUCCUUGGAACAGGACGCCUUAGAGGGUGAGAGCCCCGUACGGUUGAAUGCCUAGCCUUUGUAAAACUCCUUCGACGAGUCGAGUAGUUUGGGAAUGCUGCUCUAAAUGGGAGGUAAAUUUCUUCUAAAGCUAAAUACUGGCCAGAGACCGAUAGCGCACAAGUAGAGUGAUCGAAAGAUGAAAAGCACUUUGAAAAGAGGGUUAAAUAGCACGUGAAAUUGUUGAAAGGGAAGGAUUUAUGACCAGACUUUUUCUGGGCGGAUCAUCCGGUGUUCUCACCGGUGCACUUCGCUCAGUUUAGGCCAGCAUCGAUUUUCGGUGGGGGAUAAAAGCUUUAGGAAUGUGGCUCCUCCGGGAGUGUUAUAGCCUAUUGUAUAAUACCCUACUGGGGAUCGAGGUACGCGCUUCUGCAAGGAUGCUGGCGUAAUGGUUAUCAAUCACCCGUCUUGAAACACGGACCAAGGAGUCGAACAUUUGUGCAAGUGUUUGGGUGUUAAACCCUCACGCGUAAUGAAAGUGAACGGAGGUGAGAGCCCUUACGGGUGCAUCAUCGACCGAUCCUGAUGUUUUCGGAUGGAUUUGAGUAAGAGCAUAACUGUUCGGACCCGAAAGAUGGUGAACUAUGCGUGGAUAGGGUGAAGCCAGAGGAAACUCUGGUGGAGGCUCGCAGCGGUUCUGACGUGCAAAUCGAUCGUCAAAUCUGCGCAUGGGGGCGAAAGACUA
Molecule: ribosomal RNA, 835 nt
Filed under: Discosia celtidis
Lineage: Eukaryota; Fungi; Ascomycota; Sordariomycetes; Amphisphaeriales; Sporocadaceae
Description: Discosia sp. DST-2020a partial large subunit ribosomal RNA
Rfam family: Eukaryotic large subunit ribosomal RNA
Source: RNAcentral